RNAcentral lists this long non-coding RNA (261 nucleotides) under Lathyrus oleraceus (garden pea). RNAcentral's name for it is "Pisum sativum (pea) long non-coding RNA (PSAT_LNC034754)". Lineage: Eukaryota; Viridiplantae; Streptophyta; Magnoliopsida; Fabales; Fabaceae. The record is from RNAcentral.
CAAACUAGGUCAAAUACAACAUCAAAAGUCCAAACAGAAUGACUUCAAUCAAAAGCAUACCAAAACAAUUCCAAAAAUCCUCAAAUAAUUCACACCUAAACAGGACACAACCAACAAGUAAAAGUCCAAACAGAAUGACUUCAAUCAAAAGCAUACCAAAACAAUUCCAAAAAUCCUCAAAUAAUUCACACCUAAACAGGACACAACCAACAAGUAGCAUGUCAAUUUUCAGCUCAAUUGGACAAAAGAAAGUAGGUCAAU